GAUAGCAACGUGGGGCGCGGCCGCAGCGCUGUGGGUAGGGCCGGAGCGUGGGGCCGUCCGAGAGGGUGGGUCCAGUGCCUCGAGCGUGGGGCGGGACAAGGACCCGGGAGCAGGCUAUGCGAAAUUGCAGUCCCCUCCCAGCAGGGCAUCUGCGUCCGGGAGGGUGGUCUGUGGAGACACCCCUGCGAAGGUCCCUGAGGAACUGUGGCCACCAGGGAGACUUGGCCUGGUGCACUGAGCGGUCAGGCGGCUCUCUUGGGCACUGCGAGGCGCACACCACGUCUCAGCCCUUUUCUGCUGCCCACACGGGUGUCCACCAGCCCGGGUCUCCCCAAGUUAGCACCCACAGGCCAGGCCCGCACCCAACCAGUCUCCCACCCCUGCAGAGGGAGCAUCUCGUGCAUGGGCGGGCAGGGUGGCCAGGGGGACUGGAGACCUCGCUCGGGGACUGCCUGGCCGGCCCUGCACAGGAGAACCCUCGCAGGACGUCCAACAACUGCCCACAGCAUUGAAGGAAGCAGGUGUGCGGGAGUUGGGCGGUUGGAAGGCACAGCCAGGCUGACCUGGAGCUGACCCUUGACCAGAGCAGAAGUCCUGACUGGGGGCUCCAUGAGCCAUGGGCCAUCCUCCCACCCAGCUGCCCACCGGUGGUGCCUUGCCUGGGGUGAGCAGGUAUGGAGGGAGAACCAGCACCCAGCCAUUGCCAGCCUGACAAGUCUCAAAUAGCAUCCGAUACCCGGGGUUUUGUAGGAAAGGGGGGCAGCGAGGGAUGAGGGCCACUGGGGAAGCAUCCCCAGCCUACCAAGAGCCCAGGUCACCCAGGGCCAUCACUAUGCCUCAGGGCAGGCUGGGCAAGGCUGGGGCUGUAGAUGAGGAGCCUGCAGUACUGAAUGCACACUGGCCCCACUAGGGUCAUGGCACUGGGGGGUCACUCUCACCCACAUCUAGCUGGGAUGGCCCCAGGCUCCACCCUGCUCAGCCUAGGAGUCUUAGAGGAGACAAGGCAUAGCCGGUGGCCUUCAAGGCACAGCAAGGUCUCUCUGGGGUGUGGGAGUCCUGGGUGGGCUGGAGAGACAGCAAGAAUUCCCAGAUAUUGGCCCUCAGGUUGCCUCCCCACUCCCAGGCACAGGUCCCCAGUGCUUGCCUUGGUUCUGCGGAGCUGCUGCUGUGGCCAGGCCAGGCUCCCGGGGCUGUGUCCAUGUCCAUCCUCCUCCUGGCCCAUGGCGGCAGGUGUCCCCAGGCCCUGGGACCACAACAGGGCCCUCGGGCCCCUGGCUCCUUGGGGCCCCAGCCCUGCAGGGACAGGAAGGGAGUCAGAAGGCCUGCUACAGUGGAUUACAACUGUGGGCAUGAAGGGGAGAUUGAGCAGGGUGGGAGUGGGGACAGACCAGAGGAGGGAGCUCAGGGAAGGCUCUGAAGAGGAGGAGGCGGAGAGGGCAAAAGUGGGGGCCUGCGGUGGAGAGGGAGACCUGACGGGGACUGUGUCAGCCUCCCACAGAUGAAACCAGACAAAGAGCCACAGGGGCCUCCCUUCUGAAGGGCUGAGUUCCUCGACGGAGCACCCGCUUUUCGCUUUCCCAGUGAGGGGCACUGGAGUUUGCCAGCAGAGGCUUGGGUUUAACUGUGGAUAAUAUUUGUUCAGGAGUUCCAUGAGCCACGUGAAGAACUUAAGACCAGAAGUGAAAUUCUUUUCUUCAACUUAGACACAAAAUGAAUACUCUGAAAUAAAGUGGACUUUGGCGGCUUA
Long non-coding RNA from Felis catus (domestic cat), 1747 nucleotides. RefSeq lists it as uncharacterized. The record is from RefSeq and is a predicted model, not a curated record. NCBI's taxonomy places the organism in Eukaryota, Metazoa, Chordata, Mammalia, Carnivora, Felidae. The transcript has 2 exons.